Molecule: ribosomal RNA, 497 nt
Filed under: uncultured bacterium
Lineage: Bacteria
Description: partial 16S ribosomal RNA
Rfam family: Bacterial small subunit ribosomal RNA
Source: RNAcentral
GACGAACGCUGGCGGCGUGCCUAAUACAUGCAAGUUGAGCGAUGAAGCUUGGUGCUUGCACCAAUUUGAAGAGCAGCGAACGGGUGAGUAACGCGUGGGGAAUCUGCCUUUGAGCGGGGGACAACAUUUGGAAACGAAUGCUAAUACCGCAUAACAACUUUAAACAUAAGUUUUAAGUUUGAAAGAUGCAAUUGCAUCACUCAAAGAUGAUCCCGCGUUGUAUUAGCUAGUUGGUGAGGUAAAGGCUCACCAAGGCGAUGAUACAUAGCCGACCUGAGAGGGUGGUCGGCCCCCUUGGGACUGGGACCAGGCCCAAACCCCUACGGGCGGCCGCAGUAGGGGAUCUUCGGCAAUAGACGGAAGUCUGACCGCGCCACGCCGCGUGAGUUAAGAAGGUUUUCGGAUCGUAAAACUCUGUUGGUAGAGAAGAACGUUGGUGAGAGUGGAAAGCUCAUCAAGUGACGGUAACUACCCAGAAAGGGACGGCUAACUACGUG